Molecule: ribosomal RNA, 253 nt
Filed under: uncultured bacterium
Lineage: Bacteria
Description: partial 16S ribosomal RNA
Rfam family: Bacterial small subunit ribosomal RNA
Source: RNAcentral
UACGAAGGGGGCUAGCGUUGCUCGGAAUCACUGGGCGUAAAGGGUGCGUAGGCGGGGCUUUAAGUCAGGGGGGAAAUCCUGGAGCUCAACUCCAGAACUGCCUUUGAUACUGGCGAUCUUGAGUCCGGGAGAGGUGAGUGGAACUGCGAGUGUAGAGGUGAAAUUCGUAGAUAUUCGCAAGAACACCAGUGGCGAAGGCGGCUCACUGGCCCGGUACUGACGCUGAGGUGCGAAAGCGUGGGGAGCAAACAGG